Long non-coding RNA from Pyrus x bretschneideri (Chinese white pear), 1309 nucleotides. RefSeq lists it as uncharacterized. The transcript has 6 exons. NCBI's taxonomy places the organism in Eukaryota, Viridiplantae, Streptophyta, Magnoliopsida, Rosales, Rosaceae. The record is from RefSeq and is a predicted model, not a curated record.
UCCUAAAUUUUGACUUUUGUGGCUACAAACUACCUUUUGUAUAGUUAUGUAUAUGCAUAUAUGCUUGGUUGAUCUUAAUUUUCCAUAUCCAAUGUAUUCAAAUCAUGUUCAUAGUCAGAUUACCAUUCUUAAUCUGUUGUUUCAAGAUUGUCUAACCUUUGUGUUGAUAACUAUUGAAGCAUCAUACGCUUCACAUCCUACUGCUAAUGUCUUAAUUAACUUUGCUUCAUACAGAAAGUCAAUGAUUAUUCUAUGAGUAGUGUUCUGGAGUGCGAAACUUCUAUAGUUGUACCUAAUGAUGAAUGUAUGUUGAUAUAUCUGCAAUGCUCCCACUUCUUCCAUGGCUGCUUCUAUGCAACCAACCAUUAGAGUUGUGGCAAUUAUUACUGAAGGUGUACCUAAGUCAGACACAAAGCAAUUGAUCGCAUAUGCACGGGCAAACAACAAGGUUGUCAUUGGCCCUAAUACUGUUGGAGGAAUUCAAGCUGGAGCUUUUAAGAUUGAUGACACUGCUGGAACAAUUGAUAACAUUAUUCACUGCAAGCUAUACAAGCUUAAAUCUAUUGGUUUUGUCUCCAAAUAUAAUGGACAACCUCCUGUGAUUUGCAAGCUUUUAAACCACCAAAGAAACAUAAGGGUCUCUGCAUGUAAAGUGUGCACAAGUUAAGGCAGUUCAGAACCUAUGAAACAAGUAGCACUACUGACGCACUGUUGGAGAGAUUAUGAACCUCUGUUAAGUCACAGUCCAGUGAAGGGAUUAGCCCGUUCGACUUUGUGUUUUAGAUGAAUCCGUUUCGGAUUGGGAGAAAAUUUAAACCCAGAAAAAGUUGGGUUUCCUGAUGAGUUGUCCGGCAGAUUUCAGGUCGACAACAAACAGGUUGAUCACAUCUUGAGUUUUCUGACUGAUUUAUUCAAUCCUAUCAGUUCUGAUUCUGUCCCUCCAUAACAUUUCCAGCACCAUCUGCCUUGCUCUCAUCACAGCUUGGCUUUCAGCUCCUCAGGAGGAAUAGUGGAAUGGUGGAUGUGAAAGUUUCUUUUACAGCAAUUCAAAGAGAAGAGCUUGACAGACAAUGGACUCUUCCCCUAUUCCUCCACAUUCACUUUUACCAAUUUCCAAGAACAUAUUAAAUUCCCUCAAACUAUAAGCCGACGUAUGGAAAAGCUUUGAAUUCAUUGGUUUCCUCCAAUUAGUAUGCAGAACUCUAAAAAAAGAAAAAAGUGAGGGUUGAAUGACUACCCUCAUAUAUACACAGACAGAUAUGUAAAAAAAUUAGAAUGGUGAAAUGAGGAUUUAAUGACCUAUUACUCA